Molecule: ribosomal RNA, 255 nt
Filed under: uncultured bacterium
Lineage: Bacteria
Description: partial 16S ribosomal RNA
Rfam family: Bacterial small subunit ribosomal RNA
Source: RNAcentral
UACGUAGGGUGCAAGCGUUGUCCGGAAUUAUUGGGCGUAAAGAGCUCGUAGGCGGUUCGUCGCGUCGGCUGUGAAAACCCGAGGCUCAACCUCGGGCCUGCAGUGGGUACGGGCAGACUAGAGUGCGGUAGGGGGAGAAUGGAAUUCCUGGUGUAGCGGUGGAAUGCGCAGAUAUCAGGAGGAACACCGAUGGCGAAGGCAGUUCUCUGGGGCCGUAACUGACGCUGAGGAGCGAAAGCGUGGGGAGCGAACAGG